Molecule: ribosomal RNA, 388 nt
Filed under: uncultured bacterium
Lineage: Bacteria
Description: bacterial SSU rRNA
Rfam family: Bacterial small subunit ribosomal RNA
Source: RNAcentral
AUUGAACGCUGGCGGCAUGCCUUACACAUGCAAGUCGAACGGCAGCACGGGAGCUUGCUCCUGGUGGCGAGUGGCGAACGGGUGAGUAAUACAUCGGAACGUACCCUGAAGUGGGGGGAUAACGUAGCGAAAGUUACGCUAAUACCGCAUAUUCUGUGAGCAGGAAAGAGGGGGGAUCGCGAGACCUCUUGCUUUAGGAGCGGCCGAUGUCGGAUUAGCUAGUUGGUGAGGUAAAGGCUCACCAAGGCGACGAUCCGUAGCGGGUCUGAGAGGAUGAUCCGCCACACUGGGACUGAGACACGGCCCAGACUCCUACGGGAGGCAGCAGUGGGGAAUUUUGGACAAUGGGCGCAAGCCUGAUCCAGCCAUGCCGCGUGAGUGAAGAAGG